RNAcentral lists this non-coding RNA (30 nucleotides) under Rattus norvegicus (Norway rat). Lineage: Eukaryota; Metazoa; Chordata; Mammalia; Rodentia; Muridae. The record is from RNAcentral.
UGGGAAAACCAUCAGCAGAGCCUACAGGAC